UACAGAGGGUGCAAGCGUUGUUCGGAAUUACUGGGCGUAAAGCGUGCGUAGUCGGUAUUGAGAGUCGCGGGUGAAAUCCCAGGGCUUAACCCUGGAACUGCCUGCGAGACCUCAGUACUAGAGUGUGAGAGGGGAUAGUGGAAUACCCAGUGUAGCGGUGAAAUGCGCAGAUAUCGGGAAGAACACCUAUGGCGAAGGCAGCUCUCUGGGACGGUACUGACGCUGAGACGCGAAAGCGUGGGGAGCAAACAGG
RNAcentral lists this ribosomal RNA (253 nucleotides) under uncultured prokaryote. Its description in RNAcentral is "partial 16S ribosomal RNA". It matches the Rfam family "Bacterial small subunit ribosomal RNA", at positions 524 to 776 of the family's 1533-position model. The record is from RNAcentral.